This 263-nucleotide long non-coding RNA is filed under the name Elaeis guineensis (African oil palm). RNAcentral describes it as "long non-coding RNA (EGUI_LNC001724)". The record is from RNAcentral. Lineage: Eukaryota; Viridiplantae; Streptophyta; Magnoliopsida; Arecales; Arecaceae.
GCACAUGGGCUUCACCUACUUUAGUGGAAAGUGAUCUGCUAACCUGUGCAAGAUGGGGGUAUGGAGAUUUAAUUCUUAUUGGUUAGGAGGGAGGCGGUGAUUUUCAUACAUGCGAUGAGAUUUCUCACUUAGUUUGAUUAUUUGUGGAACAAGAUGAUAAGGACUUGGUAUGGGACUUGAAGUCAGGGGUUCGAGAUCCGUAAUGAUCAUGGUUGCUCUUUCAUUUGGAGAAAUAUUUAUAGCCGCUCCCUAUAGUGGUGGCC